AUGCGGCAGCUUCGGCUCAUCACCAACAUGAGGGCUCAUAAUGACACGUGGUUUGCAGAUUACUUGCUAAGGGUCGGCAAUGGCACUGAGGAUGUAGACGAUCAAGGAAACAUACUACUCCCUGAAGAUAUUUGCCUGCCGUCUACAGGCGAGGUUGACGACCUGGAGAAACUUAUUGACCACGUGUUUCCGAGUCUAGAUGACAACAUGUCUGAUUCCAAUUACAUGACAUCUCGAGCAAUCCUUUCCACGACAAACGACAAUGUCGACAAGAUAAACAUCCGCAUGAUAGAC
RNAcentral lists this ribosomal RNA (294 nucleotides) under Triticum aestivum (bread wheat). RNAcentral describes it as "partial small subunit ribosomal RNA". The record is from RNAcentral. Lineage: Eukaryota; Viridiplantae; Streptophyta; Magnoliopsida; Poales; Poaceae.